GAUGAACGCUGGCGGCGUGCCUAAUACAUGCAAGUCGAGCGAACAGACGAGGAGCUUGCUCCUCUGACGUUAGCGGCGGACGGGUGAGUAACACGUGGAUAACCUACCUAUCAGACUGGGAUAACUUCGGGAAACCGGAGCUAAUACCGGAUAAUCUAUUGAACCGCAUGGUUCAAUAGUGAAAGACGGUUUUGCUGUCACUUCUAGAUGGAUCCGCGCCGCAUUAGCUAGUUGGUAAGGUAACGGCUUACCAAGGCAACGAUGCGUAGCCGACCUGAGAGGGUGAUCGGCCACACUGGAACUUGGACACGGUCCAGGCGCCUACGGGAGGCAGCAGUAGGGAAUCUUCCGCAGUGGGCGAAAGCCUGACGGAGCAACCGCGCGUGAGUGAUGGAGGUCUUCGGUUCGUAAAACUCUGUUAUUAGUGAAAAACAAAUGUGUAAGUAACUAUGCACGUCUUGACGGUACCUAGUCAGAAAGCCACGGCUAACUACGUG
RNAcentral lists this ribosomal RNA (497 nucleotides) under uncultured bacterium. RNAcentral describes it as "partial 16S ribosomal RNA". It matches the Rfam family "Bacterial small subunit ribosomal RNA", at positions 28 to 507 of the family's 1533-position model. The record is from RNAcentral.